Small nucleolar RNA from Dendrobium catenatum, 116 nucleotides. RefSeq annotates it as small nucleolar RNA snoR104. The record is from RefSeq and is a predicted model, not a curated record. Lineage: Eukaryota; Viridiplantae; Streptophyta; Magnoliopsida; Asparagales; Orchidaceae. The transcript has a single exon.
GGGGAAUAUCCAGAAGCAAGGGAAAGCCCGAUAUAAUCUUCCAACAUUAAAUUUGUAAUUUCCUACUUGCAGUAAUUUAAGUAAGCUCUGCAAGUUUCAGGUUACAAGACAAGAGA